Molecule: ribosomal RNA, 861 nt
Filed under: Triticum aestivum (bread wheat)
Lineage: Eukaryota; Viridiplantae; Streptophyta; Magnoliopsida; Poales; Poaceae
Description: partial small subunit ribosomal RNA
Source: RNAcentral
AUGCUUAACGUCGUAUUCAACGCCAUCUGUUUGCUGCUCAGUCCGGCCCAUGCCAUUGCGAGCAUUGGCCGAGCAGUCGUCUUCAGCAUAGUUGUUUCAGCCAGAUUUUGCUUGAGAAAAAUUCACUAUAGUCAGCGGCCGCCGGCUCGCUUUGACCGCCACCUUGUCAUGUCUAGGGUGAAUACUAGUCCAUCCCCGGGGGUGUGUGUGUGUGUUUGUAAAAACGCCAGCGCGUCGGGUUCCUCCGCUCCCUCGGCCGCCUACCCGUUCGACCUCGGCUGCAGCGUCCGCAAGAACAUGGUCCCCGUCCUCGACUACAUCGGCAAGAUCGGCGUCCGCCGCGGCCGGAGCACCUGGCGGCGCACGCGCGACUGGCCCUGCUCGUCCUCCGCGGGCUCCUCCCGCGCGCGCCCCGCCUCCUCGCCAACUCCUUCUCCCUCUCCCUCGCCCUCCGCCGCGCUCGCCUCGUCCUCCGCCGCGACCCGGCCUCUCGGCGCCUCGCUCCACGCGCGCGCGGUCAGGUCCGGCUUCGCCGCCGCCGACCUCUUCGUGCCCACCGCGCUCGUCGAGAUGUACGCCAAGCCGGGCCGCGCGGAGCUCGCGCACGCCGCGUUCGACGAGGCACCCCGCCGGGACGUGUUCCUCUGCAACGUAAUGCUCGCGUCCUACGUCGCGCGCGGCGAGGUGCCGGAGGCGAGGAGUGUGUUGGACGGAAUGCGGGACAGGGACCUGGUGUCCUGGAACACGAUGAUCCACGGGUACGCCGUGAGAGGGGACGUCGGCAUGGCGAGGGAGAUAUUCGACGCGACAAGCGACAGGGACGCCUGUUGGAAUAAUUAUGCAUCUAUGAGAUGCCAUUAG